RNAcentral lists this long non-coding RNA (1224 nucleotides) under Piliocolobus tephrosceles (Ugandan red Colobus). Its description in RNAcentral is "lncRNA (ENSPTEG00000027017.1)". Lineage: Eukaryota; Metazoa; Chordata; Mammalia; Primates; Cercopithecidae. The record is from RNAcentral.
AUGAUAAAAAAUGGUAAAUUCGCUAGUUGUAUGAUAUUAAAAACUUGGCUAGGUGUUAAUAAAACUUUUCCAUAUAGUUAUUUAAAUAGUUGUAAAUAUUUAUCUAAAAAAAUUAAAUUUACAUUUACUGAUAUAAGUAAAAAAAAUUAUACAACGAAUGAACUAAACAGUAGUAAUACAUAUAAUUAUAACAAUGAAGAAAUUAAAAUAGCAAAACAUUUUCGAGAAACUUUUCAUGACGGUUCAGAAAAAAAUUUCGAAAGUCAUCCUUUUAAUAGAAGAUUUGCAUAUAGUAAGAAAAGUUUAUUUCCAAUAGAACCAAGAAAUUUAAGAACGUUAGGAUUAAAUAGAAGAAGGAAAAAAAAAAGAGGAAGAGGUGAUAAAUGUCCAGGGAAAGGUAUAAGAGAUAAACAUAAACAUAGAAAAUCUGGAAGACCUAAUAGUAGAACGUUUGAAAGUGGUAAAACACCAUUAUAUAGACGAUUACCAAAAUGGCCUGAAGCUUGGUUAAAUAGACAAAAAAAAAAAUUUGAUUGUUUGAAUUUAUCUAAAUUAAGAUAUUUUAUAGAAAAAGGAAGAUUAGAUACAAGAUAUGUAAUCACACAAAGACAUUUAAAUGAUUCAAAAUGUGUAAAAGUUAAAAAUGGUGUUAAAUUAUUUAACGUAAAUGAUUACCCAUUUCCGUACAAAAUCGAUAUUGAAGUUGCAAACGCAGACCAAUCUUCUAUAGAUGUUAUUAAAAAAGUUGGAGGAACUGUUACUAUUAUUUAUAUGGAAAGAGUUAAUUUAAGAGCACAUAUAAAACCAUACAAAUUUGAAAUAUUACCAAGAACAGCUAGACCUAAUCUUAAUAUGAUACAUUUUUUAGAAAAAAUGAGAAGCAGAGGAUGUAUAGUAAAAUAUAUAAAACCAUUAUGGCUAAUUGAAGAAGAAAAAAGAAUUAUUAAUGAAAUGAUAGAGUUAGAGGAAAGUUCUAUAUUAAGUGAACAAACUAGUUUUAAAAAAAAUGGUGUCCCCUUGAAAAAUAAAGAUGGAAAACUAAAUGUAGAUUAUGAAAGUUGUUAUGAUACAAAUAGUGAUAAUACUAAUGAUACUUAUACAAAUAAUGUUAAUAAAUAUAAUAACGGUGCAAACAGUGUCGAUGUAGAAGAUGAAGAUGCAAGAAGAGAAAGGCUCUUACAAGCAUACAGGCUACAAUAUACAAAACUAAAAAGCGAUCAUUAA